UACGUAGGGUGCAAGCGUUGUCCGGAAUUAUUGGGCGUAAAGAGCUCGUAGGCGGUCUGUUGCGUCGGCUGUGAAAACCCGGGGCUCAACUCCGGGCCUGCAGCCGAUACGGGCAGACUAGAGUUCGGCAGGGGAGACUGGAAUUCCUGGUGUAGCGGUGAAAUGCGCAGAUAUCAGGAGGAACACCGGUGGCGAAGGCGGGUCUCUGGGCAGUAACUGACGCUGGAGACGCGAAAGCGUGGGGAGCAAACAGG
RNAcentral lists this ribosomal RNA (254 nucleotides) under uncultured bacterium. Its description in RNAcentral is "partial 16S ribosomal RNA". It matches the Rfam family "Bacterial small subunit ribosomal RNA", at positions 524 to 776 of the family's 1533-position model. The record is from RNAcentral.